Molecule: ribosomal RNA, 302 nt
Filed under: uncultured bacterium
Lineage: Bacteria
Description: partial 16S ribosomal RNA
Rfam family: Bacterial small subunit ribosomal RNA
Source: RNAcentral
GCAGCAGCCGCGGUAAUACGAAGGGUGCAAGCGUUAAUCGGAAUUACUGGGCGUAAAGCGUGCGUAGGCGGUUUGUUAAGUCUGUUGUGAAAUCCCCGGGCUCAACCUGGGAAUGGCAAUGGAUACUGGCAAGCUAGAGUGUGUCAGAGGAUGGUGGAAUUCCCGGUGUAGCGGUGAAAUGCGUAGAGAUCGGGAGGAACAUCAGUGGCGAAGGCGGCCAUCUGGGACAACACUGACGCUGAGGCACGAAAGCGUGGGGAGCAAACAGGAUUAGAUACCCGCGUAGUCCCUGUCUCUUAUAC